CAGAGGGUGCAAGCGUUAAUCGGAUUUACUGGGCGUAAAGCGCGCGUAGGUGGCCAAUUAAGUCAAAUGUGAAAUCCCCGAGCUUAACUUGGGAAUUGCAUUCGAUACUGGUUGGCUAGAGUAUGGGAGAGGAUGGUAGAAUUCCAGGUGUAGCGGUGAAAUGCGUAGAGAUCUGGAGGAAUACCGAUGGCGAAGGCAGCCAUCUGGCCUAAAUACUGACACUGAGGUGACGAAAAGCAUGGGGGAGCAAAACAGGAUU
This 259-nucleotide ribosomal RNA is filed under the name uncultured bacterium. Its description in RNAcentral is "partial 16S ribosomal RNA". It matches the Rfam family "Bacterial small subunit ribosomal RNA", at positions 526 to 779 of the family's 1533-position model. The record is from RNAcentral.